GUGAGGAAUUUUCCGCAAUGGGCGAAAGCCUGACGGAGCAAUGCCGCGUGAAGGAAGAAGGCUCACGGGUCGUAAACUUCUUUUCUCGGAGAAGAAUAAAUGACGGUAUCUGAGGAAUAAGCAUCGGCUAACUCUGUGCCAGCAGCCGCGGUAAAACAGAGGAUGCAAGCGUUAUCCGGAAUUAUUGGGCGUAAAGUGUCUGUAGGUGGCUUUUCAAGUCCGUCGUCAAAUCCCAGGGCUCAACCCUGGACAGGCGGUGGAAACUAUCAAGCUAGAGUACGGUAGAGGCAGAGGGAAUUUCCGGUGGAGCGGUGAAAUGCGUUGAGAUCGGGAGGAACACCAAGGGCGAAAGCACUCUGCUGGGCCGUCACUGACACUCAGAGACGAAAGCUAGGGGAGCAAAUGGGAUUAGAAACCCUAGUAGUCC
Molecule: ribosomal RNA, 427 nt
Filed under: uncultured bacterium
Lineage: Bacteria
Description: bacterial SSU rRNA
Rfam family: Bacterial small subunit ribosomal RNA
Source: RNAcentral